Anolis carolinensis (green anole) is the source of this 5992-nucleotide long non-coding RNA. RefSeq lists it as uncharacterized. The record is from RefSeq and is a predicted model, not a curated record. Lineage: Eukaryota; Metazoa; Chordata; Lepidosauria; Squamata; Anolidae. The transcript is spliced from 5 exons.
CUCCCCAAUCAGAGGCGCUUCGUGACUGCCUGGCAGAUGCGUCACGCUCGGGCCCGGAGUUCCCUUCCCCGAUUCGUGACUCGCCUGCCGGAGUCUCGGGCGGGACUCGGCAGUCUCUGCAGCUCUGCGAUCUGGACACAUCUCCUCCUCCUCUCCUCCUCCUCGAAGCCUCUGCCUGCCCUACGGAGAGCAUCCUUGGGAAAGAAGAGGUUUGCCGUGGCCUUUCUUUGAGGCUGAGAAAGUGGGAUUUACCCACGGUUGUCUGUUGCCUGGUGUGUCCACCUCUCUAGAGAUUCUAAGCAGACUCACUUCCUUUUCAUAAUUUAUUAAUUUCAACUCUCCAGUUGUGGAUCAGGGGUCUACUCAUCUUUUAUGAAGAAACAAGAAAAUAAACAAGAAAGUUUACUCCAUUGUGAAUCUUUAAGGCCAACCGUCCUAAACAGCGGACAGCAGCUCAGACUGUAAGGAGCAAGAGCAGUUGGAGGUCCCAGCAACUGAAUCUGAAGUAAAAAACUGCCAGCAGCUUACUCACUUCGGAACCAUUGCAAGUUCCAGAAACUUAAAGACAUAACGACAGCUUUGCCUUGGAGAGGUGACAGCAAAGGGAUUGGCUCACUGAUACUUUUAGACUGGCAUCUUAUCACCGGACUCUGUCUCUUUAAACAUCAGCGAUCAAGCCAUUAUGAAUUCAUAAACCACUUGUGAUACGUUAAACUUCACAUCUUCAUUUGGAUAUGCUCUCAGCAGAGUGUUUGCAGCCAUUUGGUGUCUUUCCUAUUUUGUUUCUUAUAUUCAGCAAAACGGACAAAAAUAUUACUGCUAUGUCUCUUAUGGUUGUUCAAUAAAAUGGAUAAUAAAAUAAACAAAUGAAUGGCAGUUAAAAACAGCGGGAGGGUCCCUCGACAGCUACUGGACAAGACACAACAGAGCUUUGCCGCUUGGCUGCUUGUCUCCCAUUCAGAGGCCAAAGGCAUGGCAGCAGAAACUAAGAUGGCGGUGUGUUAUCUGACUGACUCCCUCUCAGUAGCCAAAGGAAUGGCAGUUAAAGCUAGUAGGAGGGGCUCUCGGCAGCUUCUGCACAAAACAUAAUGCAACUAUGUCUCCUGACUGACUGACUCCCUUUCAGUGGCUAAAGGAAUGGCAGCUAAAGGCACUGGGAGUCUCAAUAGCUGCUUGAGAAGACAGGAUGGUGCUGUGUCCUUUGACUGCCACCUUCCCACUCAGUGGCCAAAGGAAUAGCAGUUAAAAACAAGACGGCUUGAGAAAGCGAGAUAGCACUGUAUGUCCUGACUGGCUCCCUCCCAUUCAGUGACCAGAGGAAUGGCAGUUAUGGAUAGUAGGAAUCUCUUUUGACAGCUCCUAGAGAAGACAAGAUGGCGUUCUGUCUCUUGCCUGUCUGUUUCCCACUCAGUGGCCAAAGUAAUGGCAGUUAAUGAUAGUGGGAGGGGCUCUUGAUAGCUGCUUGAGAAAACAAGAUGAUGGCAAAUGCCUCCCACUCAGAUGCUAGAGGAAUGGCAGUUACAGACAUUAGGAUUGUCUCAACAGCUACUCGAGAGGACAAGAUGGCGCUGCUGUGUCUAACUGACCCCUUCCGCUGCUAUUCCUUUGGCUAAAGGAAUGGCAGUUAAAGGCAAUGGGAGUGUCUCUUGACAGCUGCUCUGGAAAACAAAAUGGUGCUUGUCUCCUGACUACCUGCCUCUUACUUAGUGGCCAAAGAAAUGGCAAUUAAAGGUAGUGGAGAAGAAACGAUGGAGCUGUGUUUGGCGGUUUCUUUGCCACUCAGUGGCCAAGAAAUUGCAGUUAAAGAUGGUGGAAGAGAAUUUUGACAGCUGCUGGAGAAGAAACAAUGGAGCUGUGUCUCCUCACUGACUGCCUUCCUCUCAGUGACCAAAGAAAUAGCAGUCAAAGACAGUGGGGGCUACUCUCAACACCUCCUUAAGAAGACAAGAUGGUGCUGUGUCUCCCGACUGACAGCCUCCUAAAUCAAUGGCCAAAGGAUUGGCAGUUAAAAGCAGUGGAAGGGACUCUCAAGAGCUGCGAAACAAAACAUGAUGGAGCUAUGUGUGAUUGUUUGCCACUCAGUGGCCAAAAAAUGGCAGUUUAAUGAAGGGGCAAAGAUGCGCCGGUACACCUACGAUCUCACUGAAGGUAGGAGUCCCCUUGGUGAAGAGGGCAAGGCUAGGAAAGACACCAAAAGUUGAAUCUUCAAACUGCAGAAGCUAUUUAUUGUGUGGCCAUAGCAAUAACGUCAAAAUGCUUCCAGGAAUGCAAUCAAAGGUUUUGUUGCAACCUGAAAAUGGGUUGCAAGGCUUUUUAUCACUUUUACAGAAAGUAGAAAACAUAUUCUCAUUGGUUCUCAAAGAUCAAUCAUUUCUUUGGGUUAACAAUUGAUUAUGUCAUCAGCAUCUUUAUUUUCAGGCAAUUUAAUUGGUUUUCCGUUUCUAACACGCAAAGAGCAACGUAUGAUUCAUGAACAAUGGCCUUUUCAUGUUUUCUGACCCUGAACACUGCACCUGCUUAUCUACUUCUGUUGCAAGCUUAACUCCACAAUGGCUAGGAAGGGACUCUUGAGAACUACUAAAUAAAACAUGAUGGAGCUGUGUGUGAUUGCUUGCCACUCAGUGGCCAAAAAAUGGCAGUUAAAAACAGCAGGAGGUGCUCUCAAAAGCCAUUGCCUGGAGAAGACAAGAUGGUGCCAUAUCCCUGGACUCCUUCCCUUCUUAAGGUGGCAAUGUAUCGCCUGACUGACUGCCUCCCACUCAGAGGCCAAAAGAAUGGCAAUUAAACAGAGUAGGACAAGCUCUCAAUAGCUGCCCGAGAAGACAAGAUGGUGCUGUGUCUUUUGACUGCCUCCUUCUCACUCGGUGGUCAAAGGAAUGGCAGUUAGACAGUGGGAGGAGUUUCUAAGGGCUGUAAAAGAAAAUAAGAUGGCAGUGUAUCUCCUGAUUGACUCCCUCCCACUCAGUUGCCAAAGGAAUGGCAGUUACAGGCAUUAGGAGUGUCUCAACAGUUGCUCUAGAAGACAAGUCUGACUGACCCCUCCCACUGCCAUUGCUUUGACUAAAGGAAUGGCGGUUUAAGGCAAUGAGAGUCUCUUGACAAUUGCUAGAGAAAACAAAAUGGCGCCUGUCUCUUGAAUGAUAGAACCAAUUAGGAAAUGACAUUUAUAACCCAGGAACGAAAAUCAGGCUACAUAGUGUAACAACUCUCAGAAGACAAAUCCACACAUGUGUAGGGCCAAUUGUGUAGGGUUCAUUGCAGAAAAGGUCUUGUCAAGUAUAUUUAAUUAGGGUUUACUCUAGGUUGAUAGGGCUUACUGCAGAAAUAUGUAAAAUAAAAUGGUGCUUGUCUCCUAACAGACUGCCUCCCAUUCAGUGGCCAUUAAAGGCAAUGGGAGGGACUCCUGAGAACUGCAAGAGAAGAACCAGUGGAGCCAUGUGUGGCUGUUUGUUUGCCACUCGGUGGCCAAAGAAAAGGCCUGUUAAAGGCAGUGGGAGCAGCUCUGAACAUUGCCUGGAGAAGACAAGAUGGCGCAGUGUCUCUGGAUUUCUUCCUUCCCACUCAGCAGUCAAAGGAAUGGCAGUUAAAGGCAGCGGGAGGGGCUAUGAACAACUCCUCCUUCUGUGUUCCCUUUUCUUCAUUUUCCUGGCAUCCAGAAGUUCGCUCCUUUUGAACCCUUUGCAACAGCUCUGCUCGUGGAGGCCAAAAACAAAGAGAUCCAGUCAAUACAUACUCAGCUGCUUGCAAUUUUAAAGGAACUCAGUGCCUAAGUUUGAAGAGAGGGGCCUGUGCUGAGACACUCCCAGAUAAUUACUCUGCAGGAGAAGCCAUAAUUGGCCUGGCUGCUGGUUCAUGCCCAGCCAGCUUCUACUAAAUGUGGUUCUUGCUCACUCUUCAGCCUCUGUAAAGUGAGAAAAAGUUUGGAUGAGGAGGGUUCUUUUUACUAUUUUUUUUUAAACAUGUCACCUUCCAGAAUUCCUCAAUCCAGAGGAUGAUUGAUUCUCGGACUCAUAGGCCUCUGAUCCUGUGUUGAUUCUCAGCUUCAUGACAAAUGCACAGCAUGAAGAUAUUUGGCAGGAGACAACCAAGUGAUUGCUACUGAGUGCCCUUUCUCCUGCUGAAAAUACAUUCGUCCAGAUGUGGAGAACUCUUUAUGUGUGCCACCGAUGAAAGAGAUCUGCUGCCAGUCUAGUUCGCUUCUAUACAUCAGAGAUGAAUGAAUAAAUGCUAAGGAUGAAAGGGCCAUUCUCCAAACUCUUGGUUAUUCUAUGGAUCACACCUGCCAUUUCAAAGAAAAAUAUAAGUGACUACAGGAACAAGAAAAACAGCAACAAGAUUUUAAACCCACUCCCAAGAUAUUUGUGUCCUCCUUUUCUGUUUGUAGGGGAAUAGCACCCUCUAGUGGUUUCUGUGUGAUUCUAAGAGUAUGUGUUAAAAACUGAGAAAAUUGGCUAAUUUCUGGAGAAGCUUAGAUCUCACAUCAGUGGUCUUUGAGGGGCAACAUUAUUUUGACCUCUGUAGUAGAAUGGAGGAAGAAUUCCUUCUAGUCCUUUAAGAUAUCAUGAAGCAGUGGUGUCCUUGAGCAAGCAAACGAAGGCCCCUUACACACAGCUGUUUGAAAUCCGCAUUGAAUUGGGUUAUAUAGCAGUGUGGGCUCAGUUCAAAGUAGAUGUGGAUUAUCUGCCUUUAUAUUCUGUGUUAUAUGGCUGUGUGGAAGGGCUCUUUUUGUCAUGUCAGAAGCAACUUGUGAACAUGUUGCAAGUCGCUUCUGGUGUGAGAGAAUUGGCCGUCUACAGCAAUGUCACCCAUGGGACGUUCGGAUGUGUUAACUGGGAGGCUUCUCUCAUGUCCCCGCAAGCUAAAGCUGACAGAUAGGAACUCACCCAUCUCAAGGAUUCAAACCAGCGACUUUCAGGUCAGCAACCCAACCUUCAGGUCAGCAGUUCAGCUGGCACAAGGGUUUAAUUUAUUGCGCCACUGCUGCUCCUCUAAUAUUGUUAUAUAAAGCUAUGUAGCCAAUACGUGGUCUGAUGAGAGUCAUAAUCUAGCACAUUUGAAUGACAACAAGUUAAGGGGUUGCUGCUGCAUACAUUUACUCGGGGAAUAAGUCUCACAAGUGAUAGCUGCUAUUUCUUAUCUUAGGUCAAUGAGCCAUCCGAAACACCCUGGAACUGUCCAAUAUGCUAAACUUGUAUGGAUGGAAAUAUGAUUCAGUACCCUGAAUACCCCUUUAAAAUAUCACUGCCCAUCAUCAUGGAAGCCACCUGUUGCCAAUCAAUCUAACUAAAUUCAGUGAAACAUGCUGAAUACCCUACAUUUCAGUAAGCCGUAGAGCACAAUCCAAAGAAUAUACACUCAAAUGUAAGCCCACAGUCUUCAAUGAUGUUUACUUGCUGUUCAUAAUUCUCUGGCUACCACCCCAAAGAUGUCAGAGGGCUCGACAUAAUCUAUAUACAUAGUAAGGAGUGAAUGCAUAGCCUUCCAGAUAUUUGGCUGAUGCUCCCAUCAACCUUAAGCAGCAGCAAUCAUUGAUGAGAGUUGUGGUCCAAUAUCAUUUAUAAGGCCAGAGCUGCCCAUUCCUGCUCUGGCCAUUCAGCCUACAAGAAGCCAAAUAUUGUAUAAAGGGUAAGCUCGAAUGAAGCAUUACUUUAUUUAUUUGGCACUAAAACACUAAUAUAUAUGUAUUUUGUUUACACUUAAGUCUUUGAAAGCUCAGCCGUAACCAUUUCCCCAGAAAUUAUUCCUCUCUCAUUUUGCUUUAUGAACCAUGACUCUGUAUGUGAACUUUAUCAUUUCAUGAGUUUUCAGCCAUUCAUCAACUGAUAGCAGUCCAGCUUUUCCACUUGUGAGCUGCAUCAAUUUGAACUGCUGUCAAUGUAGCUGAAAUUAAUUCCGUGUCCUGCCUUUUCACAGUGCCUUUUUCGCUACUCUUACAGAAUUAUUCAAGGGUCUAGGGAAAUUAAACAUUUUACUAUCUUUUUGAUUACUUUUA